UGAAGACAAGCUGAGCUAAGGUGGCUUUACCGACCCCACCCAUACCCACUAUAGGAAUCACACCCAGGUCACUGCCAUUUCCAUCAUCCAACAGCAGCUUCACUAUGUUCUCCUUAUCAUCAUCCCUACCAAACACAUCAGAUAGUCUACAAGAGAGGUUGUUGAUAUUUUCUGUGCUGAUGACUUUUCACCAAUACUUUUUCUCAGAUUCAAAUCAAGAACAUCCUUCUGUUGUACUAAAUAUUCG
RNAcentral lists this unclassified non-coding RNA (247 nucleotides) under Hevea brasiliensis (rubber tree). Lineage: Eukaryota; Viridiplantae; Streptophyta; Magnoliopsida; Malpighiales; Euphorbiaceae. The record is from RNAcentral.